RNAcentral lists this ribosomal RNA (253 nucleotides) under uncultured bacterium. Its description in RNAcentral is "partial 16S ribosomal RNA". It matches the Rfam family "Bacterial small subunit ribosomal RNA", at positions 524 to 776 of the family's 1533-position model. The record is from RNAcentral.
UACGUAGGUGGCGAGCGUUGUCCGGAUUUACUGGGCGUAAAGGGAGCGUAGGCGGACUUUUAAGUGAGAUGUGAAAUACUCGGGCUCAACUUGAGUGCUGCAUUUCAAACUGGAAGUCUAGAGUGCAGGAGAGGAGAAUGGAAUUCCUAGUGUAGCGGUGAAAUGUGUAGAGAUUAGGAAGAACACCAGUGGUGAAGGCGAUUCUCUGGACUGUAACUGACGCUGAGGCUCGAAAGCGUGGGGAGCAAACAGG